ACCGGCGGCUCGAGUGGUGGCCACUAUUACUGGGCUUAAAGCGUUCGUAGCUGGCUUGUUAAGUCUCUGGGGAAAUCUUCCGGCUCAACCGGAAGGCGUCUCAGGGAUACUGGAAGGCUAGGGCGUGGGAGAGGUGAGUGGUACCUCAGGGGUAGGGGUGAAAUGCGUUGAUCGUUGGAGGAACAACAGUGGCGAAGGCGACUUACCGGGACGGAACCGACAGUGAGGAACGAAAGCGGGGGGAGCAAACAG
RNAcentral lists this ribosomal RNA (252 nucleotides) under uncultured prokaryote. RNAcentral's name for it is "partial 16S rRNA". It matches the Rfam family "Archaeal small subunit ribosomal RNA", at positions 475 to 726 of the family's 1478-position model. The record is from RNAcentral.